ACGGAGGGAGCUAGCGUUGUUCGGAAUUACUGGGCGUAAAGCGUACGUAGGCGGUUAUUCAAGUCAGAGGUGAAAGCCCGGGGCUCAACCCCGGAACGGCCUUUGAAACUAGGUAGCUAGAAUCUUGGAGAGGUCAGUGGAAUUCCGAGUGUAGAGGUGAAAUUCGUAGAUAUUCGGAAGAACACCAGUGGCGAAGGCGACUGACUGGACAAGUAUUGACGCUGAUGUACGAAAGCGUGGGGAGCAAACAGGAUUAGAUACCCUGGUAGUCCACGCCGUAAACGAUGAUAACUAGCUGUUCGGGCACUUGGUGCUUGAGUGGCGCAGCUAACGCAUUAAGUUAUCCGCCUGGGGAGUACGGUCGCAAGAUUA
This 372-nucleotide ribosomal RNA is filed under the name uncultured bacterium. RNAcentral describes it as "bacterial SSU rRNA". It matches the Rfam family "Bacterial small subunit ribosomal RNA", at positions 525 to 896 of the family's 1533-position model. The record is from RNAcentral.